RNA transcript from Hordeum vulgare subsp. vulgare (domesticated barley), 1448 nucleotides. RefSeq lists it as uncharacterized. The transcript is spliced from 5 exons. The record is from RefSeq and is a predicted model, not a curated record. NCBI's taxonomy places the organism in Eukaryota, Viridiplantae, Streptophyta, Magnoliopsida, Poales, Poaceae.
AUUUGCGUGCUCUAAGAAAAAAAAAACUUUAAGUGAGUUCGAUCCACGCUGAGCCGCACUGAGAUCAAGCCAUGACAGUCCUGGCCUUUGGCGCCGCCGCUACCUGGCCGGAGGCCGUCGUCCAGUGCCUCCUCUUCGUCUUCGCCGCGGGUAUGCUCGUGGCCCUCCACUCCCUCCCCCGCCGAGUUGCUCAUCGUCUUCGCCGCCGCGCCGGCGGCUCAUCGGCCGCUCAAUCGCGCCGGCACUUCGCGCUGGGUGCCCAGCUCCUCGCCCGCGCGCGAGCCGCUGCUCCGAAGCCCCCGGGCCCGCUAGCCCGCGCGGCCCUCGCCGAGGCCGACCGCGCCAUCGCGCUCGACCCCCGCGACGCAGCGCCGCUGAUCCUCAAGGCCCUCGCCCUCGACCUCCAGGGUCACCGCCUCCCGGCGCUGCGCACCCUCGACGUCGCCCUCGGGCCGCCGCUUGCCCGUUCCCUGGAACCGCGGGAGCGCGGGGACGCGCUCGCCAAGCGCGCCGAGAUCGCACUAGCGCUUAAUCGCCGCCGUCGCCUCGACCAGGCCGCUGCGGAUCUCACCGAGGCUGUCCGCCUUAGCCCCGAGAACCCCCGCGCUCAUGCUCUGCUUGGCGAGUGCUACGAGAGGAAGGGGCUCACUGCCGAAGCCAGGAACUCCUUCAAGACCGCCGCGUCAAUCGACCCAUCUCUGGCCACUGCGCGUGACGGCCUCCGUCGGACAGGCGCAGGCAGCGAAGUUAACGAGAGUGACUGAUGACUAAUUUUUGGGUGAGCAUUUGUAGCUAUUGUUAUAUAUUUGGGGGUGGAACGAACGAUCCCCUUGAAGACCAAAUAUGGCAUUUCUGAUCUUCAUUUGUUCGUGAAGGCAUGGUCUUGCGUGAAGGUCAUCGUGUGUCACGCACUCCGAUUGCUCGUGUUAAUUGGAGUUAGAAAACAGGAACCCAGAUUUUGGGUCGUGAACUUACAGGUACUCAAUCCAUCUCCACAGCCACAGGGCAACAGAGUUAAUCAGCAAAGGACAUAGCAACUCACUCUGAAGCCGAGUUAUAUUCAGAGCUGUAUCAAGUAGGACAUCAGGUUGGUGACAUUUCGUCCACCACCUACCAGAGUGUUGCUGCUCAACUCUGGUUCAACAAGUGCAGGCAUGCAGCACUAUGUUGGCCAAACAUAACAGAAACGGACUGGUGUUAUGCCAACUGAUCAAAGCAUUGGCUGGUUUGCUGAAACAGAAUAUUACUUGUGUCCCGUAAAAAGAAACAUUGGUAACAUCUCGCCAAGUUAUUGUGCAACCACUGGUUUUGUGACGUUGUGAUGAUGCUGGUCAUUUACAUGUUUUUUUCUGAAAAGAAGGGUGCCGUGGCCUGAUGCAUGCAACCAUUUUAUUAAUAAGGAAUAGUCGUAAAUAAAGUGCAAAGUCUUACAUGAGCUCUCAAUCAAA